This 480-nucleotide ribosomal RNA is filed under the name uncultured bacterium. RNAcentral's name for it is "bacterial SSU rRNA". It matches the Rfam family "Bacterial small subunit ribosomal RNA", at positions 28 to 507 of the family's 1533-position model. The record is from RNAcentral.
GACGAACGCUGGCGGCGUGCCUAACACAUGCAAGUCGAACGGAACUCUUUGGAUCAAGGCUUCGGCCAAGUGAAUUUGAGUUUAGUGGCGAACGGGUGAGUAACGCGUGAGCAACCUGCCUUUCAGAGGGGGGACAACAGUUGGAAACGACUGCUAAUACCGCAUAAUACAUUCGGGGGGCAUCCCCUGAAUGUCAAAGAUUUAUCGCUGAAAGAUGGGCUCGCGUCUGAUUAGCUAGUUGGCGGGGUAACGGCCCACCAAGGCGACGAUCAGUAGCCGGACUGAGAGGUUGGCCGGCCACAUUGGGACUGAGACACGGCCCAGACUCCUACGGGAGGCAGCAGUGGGGAAUAUUGGGCAAUGGGCGCAAGCCUGACCCAGCAACGCCGCGUGAAGGAAGAAGGCCCUCGGGUUGUAAACUUCUUUUGUCAGGGACGAAAUCUGACGGUACCUGACGAAUAAGCCACGGCUAACUACGUG